GGAACUGCUGGGGAGGAUGAUCUGCCAGUGGCAUUCCAUACAGCCCUGGUCACAGCAAGAGCAGAAGAACACGGUUGGCUGACAUAGUGGAUAGGCUUGGAAUCAGGACUCUUCCUCUUCCUGAAUUCAAAUCUGGCCUCAGACACAUAGUACUUGUGCUGGCAUGAGAAACACCUUUCCAGUUGAGAAGGAAAAGGAAGAACGUCCUAUUGUCUAUGGCUAAGCUUUUCUGCCUCUCCUUCCCAGGAUGACCAAAAGAGAAAUUAUGUAUCACAGAAUCACAGAGUUUGAAGGAUCCUUGGAAUUCACCUAGUCCAACCUUUACCUAAUGUAAGAAAGAGGAGCCCCCACAUGUACAGCAAGGGAGUUGUCAUUGUGUAUGGCUCCAAGGGAGAUUUUCAUUCCUGCCAGGAGGGAAAACAGAAGGUUGGGAUUGGAGGCUACUACUCUGUUCUCCUUAGCACCAGACAAAUAUUCUAUUAGUAGUCUAGGAGAUAUGAUUGAAUUCAAGCUCACUUUUGAUUGUUUUGUCAUUUUGGGGGGAAGGAGAACCUCAAGCUCUUAUCCAAGGCCUGAUCCCUUUCCCACCUAAGAUCUAUCCAAGGAGAGCAUAAAAGCUUGCAAUCUAUUUUCCCCCCUCUCCCAACCCAUGUAGACUGAGCCUAAAUAUCUUCUCCAAAGGAAGAACAGGAGGGGAGUGCUAGAGAAGAAAUCAAGCCAGAGAGUAAUAAAUGUCUGAGAAAAUGAUCCACUUCAUUCCCUGGUGCAUCAAAAGGGCAACUCCUCUUUGGGCUGACUUUGAUGACAUGAUUCUCAACAUGUUUCUCCAAAAGCCCCUUAGUUUUUCUUAGUCUGCUUAGUUUUAGCUUACCGUCUAAGUUACA
Non-coding RNA from Phascolarctos cinereus (koala), 884 nucleotides. Lineage: Eukaryota; Metazoa; Chordata; Mammalia; Diprotodontia; Phascolarctidae. The record is from RefSeq and is a predicted model, not a curated record.